Molecule: unclassified non-coding RNA, 200 nt
Filed under: uncultured fungus
Lineage: Eukaryota; Fungi
Description: sequence contains ITS1, 5.8S rRNA gene
Source: RNAcentral
AAGUAUGAUAUUUGAAUUCUUUGGAGUUCAAAACCAUCUGAUAUUGUGAUAUUAUUGAAAAAUUAAAUUUGGAUUUAAAGAUGAUAUUUUCUUUGUGUUAAAACAAAGUAUCGAUCCAAUAUUUUGAUCAACUCUCUUAUUAUUUUGACUGAAUUUAAUCAAGUUUUAAUCCAAUUUGGAUUAAAAAAAAAAGGUUUAAA